This 1016-nucleotide ribosomal RNA is filed under the name uncultured bacterium. RNAcentral's name for it is "bacterial SSU rRNA". It matches the Rfam family "Bacterial small subunit ribosomal RNA", at positions 357 to 1376 of the family's 1533-position model. The record is from RNAcentral.
AGGAAUAUUGGUCAAUGGGCGAGAGCCUGAACCAGCCAAGUAGCGUGAAGGAUGAAGGUCCUACGGAUUGUAAACUUCUUUUAUACGGGAAUAAAGUUUCCUACGUGUAGGAUUUUGUAUGUACCGUAUGAAUAAGCAUCGGCUAACUCCGUGCCAGCAGCCGCGGUAAUACGGAGGAUGCGAGCGUUAUCUGGAUUUAUUGGGUUUAAAGGGAGCGCAGACGGGAGAUUAAGUCAGUUGUGAAAGUUUGCGGCUCAACCGUAAAAUUGCAGUUGAUACUGGUUUCCUUGAGUGCAGUUGAGGCAGGCGGAAUUCGUGGUGUAGCGGUGAAAUGCUUAGAUAUCACGAAGAACCCCGAUUGCGAAGGCAGCUUGCUAAACUGUAACUGACGUUCAUGCUCGAAAGUGUGGGUAUCAAACAGGAUUAGAUACCCUGGUAGUCCACACGGUAAACGAUGGAUACUCGCUGUUGGCGAUAUACUGUCAGCGGCCAAGCGAAAGCAUUAAGUAUCCCACCUGGGGAGUACGCCGGCAACGGUGAAACUCAAAGGAAUUGACGGGGGCCCGCACAAGCGGAGGAACAUGUGGUUUAAUUCGAUGAUACGCGAGGAACCUUACCCGGGCUUAAAUUGCAGACGAAUUACGAGGAAACUUGUAAGCCGCAAGGCGUCUGUGAAGGUGCUGCAUGGUUGUCGUCAGCUCGUGCCGUGAGGUGUCGGCUUAAGUGCUAUAACGAGCGCAACCCUCGUGGUCAGUUACUAACAGGUAACGCUGAGGACUCUGGCCAGACUGCCAUCGUAAGAUGUGAGGAAGGUGGGGAUGACGUCAAAUCAGCACGGCCCUUACGUCCGGGGCUACACACGUGUUACAAUGGGAGGUACAGAAGGCAGCUACCCGGCGACGGGAUGCCAAUCCCCAAAACCUCUCUCAGUUCGGACUGGAGUCUGCAACCCGACUCCACGAAGCUGGAUUCGCUAGUAAUCGCGCAUCAGCCACGGCGCGGUGAAUACGUUCCCG